AACGAACGCUGGCGGCAUGCCUAACACAUGCAAGUCGAACGAGAUCCUUCGGGGUCUAGUGGCGCACGGGUGCGUAAUGCGUGGGAAUCUGCCCUUAGGUUCGGAAUAACAGUUAGAAAUGACUGCUAAUACCGGAUGAUGACGUUAAGUCCAAAGAUUUAUCGCCUGAGGAUGAGCCCGCGUAGGAUUAGCUAGUUGGUGUGGUAAAGGCGCACCAAGGCGACGAUCCUUAGCUGGUCUGAGAGGAUGAUCAGCCACACUGGGACUGAGACACGGCCCAGACUCCUACGGGAGGCAGCAGUGGGGAAUAUUGGACAAUGGGCGCAAGCCUGAUCCAGCAAUGCCGCGUGAGUGAUGAAGGCCUUAGGGUUGUAAAGCUCUUUUACCCGAGAUGAUAAUGACAGUAUCGGGAGAAUAAGCCCCGGCUAACUCCGUG
RNAcentral lists this ribosomal RNA (436 nucleotides) under uncultured bacterium. RNAcentral describes it as "partial 16S ribosomal RNA". It matches the Rfam family "Bacterial small subunit ribosomal RNA", at positions 29 to 507 of the family's 1533-position model. The record is from RNAcentral.